UGAAGCUGCUGAUCCAGAAAAUGAAGAAGAAAAUGCUGAUGGAGUGCAGAACAUGGAUGCAUCACCAGUACACUCUGCUGGAGAUGAGGAUAUUGCUGCUACAAGUCAAAAUGCAAUGGUUGCAUAUGAGGCACCUGAAUACAGAGGUGAACCUUUGUCUAUGUUUGAAAGACAAGUGCUAAGCAGGCUGGACACACUCACAUAUGAGCAAAAAGCACACUAUGAGAUGACCUACGCUAGGUUUCAACACUUGGAUGACCAACUUGAAGGAGUUCAAGUGCAGCUAGCUGAGCUUUAUUACAACAACAAGUGAUCCUAUUUCUAAGUCUUUAUCUUUUAUAUGUUGUUGAGCAAUUUGGAAUUAAUCUGUACUGUUUCGUUUCUGCACUGGUGUUUAGUUGUUUUGUGAUUUGUAAUGAACCUCUAUGGUUUGUUGGUUUUAUUUGAACUGUUAUGUAUGGCUAUU
This 466-nucleotide long non-coding RNA is filed under the name Phaseolus vulgaris (common bean). RNAcentral's name for it is "long non-coding RNA (PVUL_LNC003916)". Lineage: Eukaryota; Viridiplantae; Streptophyta; Magnoliopsida; Fabales; Fabaceae. The record is from RNAcentral.